This 498-nucleotide ribosomal RNA is filed under the name uncultured bacterium. Its description in RNAcentral is "partial 16S ribosomal RNA". It matches the Rfam family "Bacterial small subunit ribosomal RNA", at positions 28 to 507 of the family's 1533-position model. The record is from RNAcentral.
GACGAACGCUGGCGGCAUGCCUAAUACAUGCAAGUUGAACGAUGAUAUUCUCUGCUUGCAGAGAAUUGAAGAGUAGCGAACGGGUGAGUAACACGUGGGGAACCUGCCCAUGAGAGGGGGAUAACAUUCGGAAACGGAUGCUAAUACCGCAUAAUGCUUUGGACCGCCUGGUCCAGAGACGAAAGACGGCUUUUGCUGUCACUCAUGGAUGGCCCCGCGCCGUAUUAGCUAGUUGGUGAGGUAAUGGCUCACCAAAGCUGUGAUACGUAGCCGACCUGAGAGGGUGAGCGGCCACACUGGGACUGAGACACGGCCCAGACUCCUACGGGAGGCAGCAGUAGGGAAUCUUCCACAAUGGGCGAAAGCCUGAUGGAGCAAUGCCGCGUGAAUGAAGAAGGUCUUCGGAUCGUAAAGUUCUGUUAUUAGAGAAGAACAAGUCAAGGAGUAACUGUCUUGACUUUGACGGUACCUAACCAGAAAGUCACGGCUAACUACGUG